Molecule: long non-coding RNA, 2083 nt
Organism: Oncorhynchus tshawytscha (Chinook salmon)
Lineage: Eukaryota; Metazoa; Chordata; Actinopteri; Salmoniformes; Salmonidae
Source: Ensembl
UACAGUAUAUGGCUACCUUUAUUUACAUGUAUCAAGUGUAUGUUGGUUGGUGACUGUUCUUUGAAAAGUUUAAGGCAAAGACUACAGAUAGAUAUGGUGUGUAUAAAAGUUGUGCCGUUGUCACCAAUAAAGACGACCCUGACUAACACUGGCACGCUCUGCUGGUCACAUCGAAAGUACACCGUAAAAAUUAAACAAAUGUCCUUCUCUCUCUACAUUUGACAUUAACCAUGAACACACAAAAGAGACCAUCUGUAACCAGAUGGCUGUAGGGUUCAAAUCAAAUGUCAUGUCACAUGCUUUUGUAAACAAUACGUGUAGACCGACAGUGAAAUGCUUACUUAAAUCUACCCCUGUUAGUUAUGAAGCAUGUGACAUUAUGUUCAAGUUAAACUUUUGUAUAAAUACUAAAUAUUUCAGUGUAAUUAUACAGUAGGCUGAUUGAUGGUGACAAGUGACAAUUAGCGUUUUCAAAGUUCUAUAUCUUGAAAACUGGAUUGCUGCACUGCAAAACAUUUUUUGGGGGGCUGUAUCAACAGUGGACGAAUGAAACAAAUAUACACAAAAAUAUCAUUUUGGGAGUGGAAUUGACCUUCAAGUCAAAGUUGCUGAAUUAAAAAGGUGAUCAUCCCUGUAAAAUGUCUAUUCCCGACGCGCUUCAUAUCGUCAGCUCACUCUCAAUAUCACGUUAGAGGAUGAGGCAUCUCUAUCAUGUACAGUAUGCGUUCUCUAUGCCCAUUGGACAGACUGAAAAGCGGACCUGAGACCUCCCUCAGUGUUCCGACGCAGCAUUAAGAACAGACAGAAUAUACAUCUAGAUGCUGAUCCACACAUUAUACCGGUCUGUCAGCUGGACAAUGGCUUCACCAUGAGCAGGUCUGAUCACCUUUCAGUUUAGAGACAAGGGCAGCAGGUCUGAUCACCUUUCAGUUUAGAGACAAGGGCAGCAGGUCUGAUCACCUUUCAGUUUAGAGACAAGGGCAGCAGGUCUGAUCACCUUUCAGUUUAGAGACCAGGGCAGCAGGUCUGAUCACCUUUCAGUUUAGAGACCAGGGCAGCAGGUCAGAUCACCUUUCAGUUUAGAGACAAGGGCAGCAGGUCUGAUCACCUUUCAGUUUAGAGACCAGGGCAGCAGGUCUGAUCACCUUUCAGUUUAGAGACCAGGGCAGCAGGUCUGAUCAUAUAAAUAGAACACGGUCGACUUGAAAUGUCUGUUCUAGAUAUUUUAUUUGAAUUAGUGUGAUUCUGUUUUACUGUACCGCUCUGCCUUACCAGCAGUCUUCUACCUAUAGCGGACAUUCUGCUGGUUAAAUGAACAGCUGAACGAAAACAGAUAAACACUUGAGAUACAGAGAGAGAGAGAGAGACAGAGAGAGAGAGAGACAGAGAGAGAGAGAGAGACAGAGAGAGAGAGAGAGAGAGAGAGAGAAAAGAUACAGGUUUCACCUUAGUGCACAGGAGCAGUAACAAUGUCACCAACCAACACCAUAAAAAUGGAAUAUCUUUAAACUAACAAACUCUUUGUCCUUGAGACUUCAGUAUAUUCAAAAUGAAACUACCAAAAGAUCUGAACAACAAAAAAUCAUUCAAAUGACUACAUACUAAUACAGUAUAGUGUUUUAAAUUACUCUGUACAUCUUGGAACGGUCCCCAAAAAAGCUACUUAUUUCCUAUACAGUGCACUACAUUCAUCAGGGCCCAUACGACUCUACUUUUGCUCAAAGGUAGUGCACUAUAUAGGGAAUAGGUUGUUAUUUGGGACGUAAGCACUAAGUCACGUGACUGGGCGGAAGGGAGAUACUGUACAAGAAAAACAUUACUUCAAAUGAAUACACACUUUUUUUUUUUUUUUUUUUUUUUUUUUUAACACAGAACCCCCUACACACACACACGAGUAGAGUACAGUGUUUGGAGGACGACAACAAUCUCCCAGUUCACAAUCAGACCCUUUCUCAUUUUCAUAUAGAGAACAAAUGAGACCACCAUGUGUGGGAGGUUAUGUGGGGGCAGGGCAUAUCAGGGAAGCACCUCCCACCCCCGCAUCCCUGAUAAGCCCGCCCCCGCAUCCCUGAUAAGCCCGCCC